This 1247-nucleotide non-coding RNA is filed under the name Caenorhabditis japonica. Its description in RNAcentral is "Eukaryotic small subunit ribosomal RNA". It matches the Rfam family "Eukaryotic small subunit ribosomal RNA", at positions 1 to 1298 of the family's 1831-position model. Lineage: Eukaryota; Metazoa; Nematoda; Chromadorea; Rhabditida; Rhabditidae. The record is from Rfam by way of RNAcentral.
UACCUGAUUGAUUCUGUCAGCGCGAUAUGCUCAAGUAAAAGAUUAAGCCAUGCAUGCUUUGAUUCAUAAAUGAAAUUGCGUACGGCUCAUUAGAGCAGAUAUCACCUUUCUCGGAAUCCUGAAAAGGAUAACUGCGGAAAUUCUGGAGCUAAUACAUGCGACUAUACUCCAACGCAAGGCGGGGUGCAAUUAUUAGAACAGACCAAACGUUUUCGGACGUUGUUUGUUGACUCUGAAUACCGUCGUUUACUGUCAGUUUCGACUGACUCUAUCCGAGAAGGGUGUCUGCCCUUUCAACUAGAUGGUAAUCUAUUGGACUACCAUGGUUGUUACGGGUAACGGAGAAUUAGGGUUCGACUCCGGAGAGGGAGCCUUAGAAACGGCUACCACGUCCAAGGAAGGCAGCAGGCGCGAAACUUAUCCACUGUUGAGUAUGAGAUAGUGACUAAAAAUAUAAAGACUCAUCCUUUUGGAUGAGUUAUUUCAAUGAGUUGAAUAUAAAUUAUUCUUCGAGUAGCAAGGAGAGGGCAAGUCUGGUGCCAGCAGCCGCGGUAAUUCCAGCUCUCCUAGUGUAUCUCGUUAUUGCUGCGGUUAAAAAGCUCGUAGUUGGAUCUAGGUUACGUGCCGCAGUUCGCAAUUUGCGUUAACUGUGGUCGUGACUUCUAAUUUGCUGGAUUGAGGUUGGGUUCGCCCUUCAACUGCCAGCAGGUUUACCUUGAAUAAAUCAGAGUGCUCAAUACAGGCGCUUGCUUGAAUAGCUCAUCAUGGAAUAAUGAAACAGGACUUCGGUUCUUUUUGUUGGUUCUAGAAUUGAUCUAAUGGUUAAGAGGGACAAACCGGGGGCAUUCGUAUCAUUACGCGAGAGGUGAAAUUCGUGGACCGUAGUGAGACGCCCAAUAGCGAAAGCAUUUGCCAAGAAUGUCUUCAUUAAUCAAGAACGAAAGUCAGAGGUUCGAAGGCGAUUAGAUACCGCCCUAGUUCUGACCGUAAACGAUGCCAUCUCGCGAUUCGGAGGGUUCAUGCCCUACCGAGGAGCUACCCGGAAACGAAAGUCUUUCGGUUCCGGGGGUAGUAUGGUUGCAAAGCUGAAACUUAAAGAAAUUGACGGAAGGGCACCACAAGGCGUGGAGCUUGCGGCUUAAUUUGACUCAACACGGGAAAACUCACCCGGUCCGGACACUAUUAGGACUGACAGAUUGAAAGCUCUUUCUCGAUUUGGUGGUUGGUGGUGCAUGGCCGUUCUUAGU